CACCGCGGUUAUACGAGAGACUCAAGUUGAUAGACUACGGCGUAAAGAGUGGUUAAGAAUAAAAUAAAAUAAAGUCGAAUGCUCUCAAAGCUGUUAUACGCACCCGAGAGUAAGAAGCCCAAUCACGAAAGUAACUUUACACAAUUCUGACCCCACGAAAGCUAGGCCA
Molecule: ribosomal RNA, 169 nt
Filed under: Macrognathus siamensis (peacock eel)
Lineage: Eukaryota; Metazoa; Chordata; Actinopteri; Synbranchiformes; Mastacembelidae
Description: partial 12S rRNA
Source: RNAcentral